Molecule: ribosomal RNA, 649 nt
Filed under: uncultured bacterium
Lineage: Bacteria
Description: bacterial SSU rRNA
Rfam family: Bacterial small subunit ribosomal RNA
Source: RNAcentral
CAGGCCUAACACAUGCAAGUCGAACGGUAACAGGUCUUCGGAUGCUGACGGGUGGCGAACGGGUGAGUAAUACAUCGGAACGUGCCCGAUCGUGGGGGAUAACGAGGCGAAAGCUUUGCUAAUACCGCAUACGAUCUACAGAUGAAAGCGGGGGAUCUUCGGACCUCGCGCGGACGGAGCGGCCGAUGGCAGAUUAGGUAGUUGGUGGGAUAAAAGCUUACCAAGCCGACGAUCUGUAGCUGGUCUGAGAGGAUGAUCAGCCACACUGGGACUGAGACACGGCCCAGACUCCUACGGGAGGCAGCAGUGGGGAAUUUUGGACAAUGGGCGAAAGCCUGAUCCAGCCAUGCCGCGUGCAGGAUGAAGGCCUUUGGGUUGUAAACUGCCUUUGUACGGAACGAAAAGCCUCUUUAUAAUAAAGAGGGGUCAUGACGGUACCGUAAGAAUAAGCACCGGCUAACUACGUGCCAGCAGCCGCGGUAAUACGUAGGGUGCAAGCGUUAAUCGGAAUUACUGGGCGUAAAGCGUGCGCAGGCGGUUUUGUAAGACAGAGGUGAAAUCCCCGGGCUCAACCUGGGAACUGCCUUUGUGACUGCAAGGCUGGAGUGCGGCAGAGGGGGAUGGAAUUCCGCGUGUAGCAGUGAAAUGC